CGAACGGGUGAGUAACACGUGGGCAACCUGCCCAAAAGAAGGGGGGAGUAACACUUGGAAACAGGUGCUAAUACCGCAUAACCAUAGUUACCGCAUGGUAACUAUGUAAAAGGUGGCUAUGCUACCGCUUUUGGAUGGGCCCGCGGCGCAUUAGCUAGUUGGUGGGGUAAAGGCUUACCAAGGCAAUGAUGCGUAGCCGAACUGAGAGGUUGAUCGGCCACAUUGGGACUGAGACACGGCCCAAACUCCUACGGGAGGCAGCAG
This 264-nucleotide ribosomal RNA is filed under the name uncultured bacterium. Its description in RNAcentral is "partial 16S ribosomal RNA". It matches the Rfam family "Bacterial small subunit ribosomal RNA", at positions 99 to 354 of the family's 1533-position model. The record is from RNAcentral.